Long non-coding RNA from Herpailurus yagouaroundi (jaguarundi), 953 nucleotides. RefSeq lists it as uncharacterized. NCBI's taxonomy places the organism in Eukaryota, Metazoa, Chordata, Mammalia, Carnivora, Felidae. The transcript is spliced from 2 exons. The record is from RefSeq and is a predicted model, not a curated record.
AUAUAUUCUGUCUGGCUACUGCCUACCUCUACACUCUUCUUUCUAGGGACUUCCCUCCCAUUACAGAAACACAGGGCUUCGAGUCUCCAGGUGUUGGAGAGUGCUCUUCUCUCUGAACAUGAUGCCCCUAUCUCAGGACCUGUCCGCACAGAGGUGCAACGGGCUUUUCUCCUGACCGUGAAAGAAGCAGACUUUGCCUCCAUUUGCACAUUCAUUUCAAUAUUCCUCAUCUAGACGUGUGCCAGCUCUUUGGACUCUUCCGGUUUUAACAUCUGCCCAGUUCCCUCACUGACUCAUGAGCUACAUGAAAUUUGGAGCACAUGGCUAUUUUCUAUCUGUAUGGGAGUCAUAAUAUUAUCCUUAUUUGAGAAUGAUCAUUAGCGAAAGUGAGUUUUGACCAGAGCCCAUGCUCUUUGCUCUCAUCCUGUUCAUCAACCAACCAUCACUGAACACCUACUUAGUUCUAGGCCCCCGUGUUGGGUGCUGGGGGCCAACGAUGAGUAAAACAUGGUUCCUACCAUCCAGCGACUCCAGGUCACAAUACUGAGACAGGCGGGACACACAUAGAAGCUGUGGGAGCAAAGUGAGGAGUCCCUAGCCCCCACUUGGAACAUGGAGAAAGUUUCCUGAGAAUCCAGUAAUAAUUAAGAUAAUAAGAUAAUCGCAUUACAACAGAUACUAAACUUCAAUCCAAAAACAUUGGACAAAAUAUAAUUUUAUGGUGACUGGUACUUAAGUGAAGUGAGGUAAACCUUGGCAACAUCUGGUUUCUUAUGAGAUAUGUUAGUAAUGACACUUGGCCUAUGCUACAUUUUAAGUAACAACGUACCCUUUUCCAAAGAAUAUAGAUCAAUGCUCCCAAAUCCCGUGUACAUAACUGAUUAGUUGGCAUUGUUCAAACAAUAAUCAUCAAACAGCCAUCCCUAUGGGGGAAAAAAAAAAGUACAUAGCUA